AACGAACGCUGGCGGCAGGCUUAACACAUGCAAGUCGAACGGACGUAGCGAUACGUUAGUGGCAGACGGGUGAGUAACGCGUGGGAAUUUAACUAGAGGCACGGAACAACUCAGGGAAGCUUGAGCUAAUACCGUAUAUACCCUUUAUUGGGGAAAGAUUUAUCACCUUUAGAGGAGCCCGCGUUGGAUUAGCUUGUUGGUGAGGUAAUGGCUCACCAAGGCGACGAUCCAUAGCUGGUCUGAGAGGAUGAUCAGCCACACUGGGACUGAGACACGGCCCAGACUCCUACGGGAGGCAGCAGUGGGGAAUCUUGGACAAUGGGCGCAAGCCUGAUCCAGCCAUGCCGCGUGAGUGAUGAAGGCCUUAGGGUUGUAAAGCUCUUUCAGUGGGGACGAUAAUGACGGUACCCACAGAAGAAGCCCCGGCUAACUCCGUG
RNAcentral lists this ribosomal RNA (437 nucleotides) under uncultured bacterium. Its description in RNAcentral is "bacterial SSU rRNA". It matches the Rfam family "Bacterial small subunit ribosomal RNA", at positions 29 to 507 of the family's 1533-position model. The record is from RNAcentral.